GGGAAUUUUGGACAAUGGGCGCAAGCCUGAUCCAGCCAUUCCGCGUGAGUGAAGAAGGCCUUCGGGUUGUAAAGCUCUUUCGCAAGGGAAGAAAACUUACUCAAUAACACUGGGUGAGGCUGACGGUACCUUGAUAAGAAGCACCGGCUAACUACGUGCCAGCAGCCGCGGUAAUACGUAGGGUGCGAGCGUUAAUCGGAAUUACUGGGCGUAAAGCGUGCGCAGGCGGUUUUGUAAGUCAGAUGUGAAAGCCCCGGGCUCAACCUGGGAACUGCGUUUG
RNAcentral lists this ribosomal RNA (280 nucleotides) under uncultured ammonia-oxidizing bacterium. Its description in RNAcentral is "partial 16S ribosomal RNA". It matches the Rfam family "Bacterial small subunit ribosomal RNA", at positions 357 to 629 of the family's 1533-position model. The record is from RNAcentral.